Molecule: transfer RNA, 67 nt
Filed under: Marmota monax (woodchuck)
Lineage: Eukaryota; Metazoa; Chordata; Mammalia; Rodentia; Sciuridae
Description: tRNA.Ala
Source: RNAcentral
GGAUGAACUUCAGUGGCAGAGUGCUUGCCUGGCAUGCACAAGACCCUGGGUUCAAUCCCCAGCACCA